CACGGAGUUAGCCGGGGCUUAUUCUCCCGGUACCGUCAUUAUCUUCCCGGGUAAAAGAGCUUUACAACCCUAAGGCCUUCAUCACUCACGCGGCAUUGCUGGAUCAGGCUUUCGCCCAUUGUCCAAUAUUCCCCACUGCUGCCUCCCGUAGGAGUCUGGGCCGUGUCUCAGUCCCAGUGUGGCUGAUCAUCCUCUCAGACCAGCUAAGGAUCGUCGCCUUGGUAGGCCUUUACCCCACCAACUAGCUAAUCCUACGCGGGCUCAUCCCUGGGCGAUAAAUCUUUGGACUUACGUCAUCAUCCGGUAUUAGCAGCAGUUUCCCGCUGUUAUCCCGAACCCAAGGGCAGAUUCCCACGCGUUACGCACCCGUGCGCCACUAAGGCCGAAGCCUUCGUUCGACUUGCAUGUGUUAGGCAUGCCGCCAGCGUUCGUUCUGAGCCAGGAUCAAAACUCU
Molecule: ribosomal RNA, 454 nt
Filed under: uncultured Sphingomonas sp.
Lineage: Bacteria; Pseudomonadati; Pseudomonadota; Alphaproteobacteria; Sphingomonadales; Sphingomonadaceae
Description: partial 16S ribosomal RNA
Source: RNAcentral